This is a long non-coding RNA of Nanorana parkeri, 101 nucleotides long. RefSeq lists it as uncharacterized. NCBI's taxonomy places the organism in Eukaryota, Metazoa, Chordata, Amphibia, Anura, Dicroglossidae. The transcript has 4 exons. The record is from RefSeq and is a predicted model, not a curated record.
GCAAGUAGCCUUUGGGGUUGUUCCCUUUAUCAGUGUUCUGUCUUCCCCAUUCGUAUCCGCUGGGGGUCAGUUUAGAAGUAGUAAAUGUAGAGGAACCUGGG